CAAAAACGAUCUGCCCAGGUAUCCCAAUAUUGUGGACAUUGAACAUGAAGUUGAGAUGGAACAGGAUAUGGAACCCUUAAUAUCUGCUAACUGGAAACUUGGAAGGAGGGUUAUGGAACUGGGGGUGAUAUGACAGAUGCUCUAAAAUGUCCAUGCCAUUUCAGCAGCUCUUUCAUGCUGUGGAUAUCCUAACUUAUGGAUCAUCAGCUAUCAUUAAGAGAGCGGGAACAUCAUGAUCAUAUCAGCAAUGAGACGAGAAAAGUUUUCAACUUUUUCCACAAAGAACAAUCAGUAAACAGGCAGACAAAAUUACAGGUCUAAAAAUAAAUGGAAUGAAGGUGUACAAUAACAAGUGAAUAUAGACGUUUCUCUUGUAACAAUCAGAAUUAGACUAAAGUUUUGAGUAACGACAAGAAAAGUGUUUAUAGUCACUGGAUACACUAUCAUUUCCUAUGAUGUCCCAGUAUUACCGAAUGCAGUUUAAAACUGGCAUUGUCAACAAAUUCGAUAUGGAGUUAUUGAUGGAAGAUGUGAAUUGAAAACUGUGUGUGACUCGUUAUAAAAAGUAAAGUGGAUUCUAUCUCAGAAUGCAGACUUUUUCAGUUGAAAGACCCCAGAGUUUUAUAUGAAAAGAGUCAUAUAUCUUCAGUCUGUUUGAAAUGUCCAUGACAUCAGUUGUGGACACAUUAUUGGUGUUAUCAGAAUUUGCCAUGUCUGUAGCAUCAUUUUUAGAUACAGUGUCAGUGUUUGGUACUAAAUGUAAUAAGUUUUCAUUAAUUUAAAUUUGGUCAAAUUACAAAUUCUUUUUCUUUUUUUUUUUAAAUUGUAGA
Molecule: long non-coding RNA, 830 nt
Organism: Saccostrea echinata
Lineage: Eukaryota; Metazoa; Mollusca; Bivalvia; Ostreida; Ostreidae
Exons: 3
Source: RefSeq, a predicted model, not a curated record